UUGGUUAUAGAGACCGUAUAAUAUUGCGUCCGCUGGUGCCGGAAGUGUAUAAUAUUGAGUUCGCCGGCGCCGGACGCAAUGUCAUACGGUCUCUUGGAAUUAUUUCAUCUUUUUGAAGAUUUCCGCUAGGGGUUGCUUAAAGAAUAAGAAAUAAUUCAAUAAUAAUUGUUCAUUCUAGAUAUAAACGCCAGAUUCAAUUAACAAUGAAAAUGAACUUGAGAUUGAGGCGUCCGGAAAUGACGAAAUUGACGAUGAUGAUGCUGCAUAUACCCCUGAGUUAAAAUUCGACGACUCCGAUACAGAUCCAAUGUAUGACCCGAAGCAAGAGUCUUUUAAGCGGAAGGGCGUUUUCGAUCGUUGUUGACGGAUUCUUCUGCAUCGUCAAAGAAUAACUCCUUCAAUACGCCAUCGAGCACAGAAAAAUUUGUCAAAAUACCUAUAAUGAUUCACCAAAAUGUAAUUCUAAAAAACCAGAUACGUCCCCAUCUCUGCAUACCAAAUGAAAAAAUCCAGAUCCAACGCUACAAAUGAAUAUAAAUUUGAGCAGCGACAUUAAUUCCAGUUUUUCGCCUCAUAGGCAAUCAGAAAGAAACGAUCCAGUUUCAUCAUCGACAUAUAAACGAAAACGGGAUAAUUGUUACUGUGCGAAGAGGAAGUGCUGAAUUUCGCAAGACAUAUCCAACGAAAUCAUUCCUUGGAAACAUAAGUAAUAAGCAUCAUGGCACUAAAAUAGACCCAUAAUGCAAAGAAAGAAGGGAUCGAAUAGAUAGAUUAGGGAAGAGAGAGAAUUAAUAAUAUGGCCAGUCGGAUAGAUACUCGACUAAAAAACGAGGUGUUUCCUAGAAUGCUUUCUGAUAAAAUAAGAAUGGAAGCAAAAAAAAGAUCCACUUAUUUGUGCAUUCGAAGCACAAUAUUUGAGAAUAAACAGGGAGAAACAUUUUAUGAAUGUUACUUCCCGCGAAAUGAGAGAACUAACAAGGCUUCUAAUGGCGCUUAGGGAAAAAGAGCCAAAAAUAAUUAGCCUUUUUGACGCAUUUCAACCAAAAUAUUUUAAUUCCAUUUGUGAUGCAGUCAAAUCAGUGGCAAAAUACGACCAUAUUAACGAUUCAUAUGUUGCUCCAACUUACGCAAUGAAUAUAGGGACAUCUUUGAAGCAAUGCUGUGAUAUAGCAAUUCUACACAACUUGAAAAACCAGUACUCAGUUUCCUCGGCAGAAACAGAGGUAAACUUGAAAAAUAUGAAGCAUCCAUUCCAACUUCAAGUUGGAAAUUUGAAAUAUCUAGCCAAGCAGGUUCAGAUCUGAAUAUGAAAAAAUGGAAUAAGAUCACCAUUGUUCCCCUUACAGAACAUUCAAAAACGCUAAAAAAUUAUUUGAUUUCAAAAGCCAAAGAAGCAGUCACCAUGCUAACUAAUGAUCCUUGUAAUAAGAUUGCUUUCAAAAUAUUAUUGGAAACUAUUUAUUGUAGAAUAAUUCUACUAAAUAGGAAAAGACCUGGUAAGCUAAAAAGACUUCCUUUUCAAACUUAUGUAAAUUGUGAGGCCAUGGAGGGAAAAACUAAAUACGAAGAAUUCGAUCCAAUUGUAUCGGCAACAGAAAAAAUUUUAUUGAAAAAUUCUGUACUAUUCACGUCCAUGAUUUAAAAAUUAAGCAAUUUGUCAUAGGAAUUUCGACAGGAAUAAAUAAUCAGUUAUGAUUUUGCCAACGUUUCGGAACGUCUUGUUCCUUUUUCAAGGCUGAAAAUAAAAUAUUUAUUAAUCAUAAAUAGAAACAUUAAAAACUUGAUUUCAUACCUCAUCAUACAAUUAAUAAAAUAAAUAUUUAAAAUAGUCAAAAUGAUGAAUAAUCAAACGGUUUCGACGUAUGUCAGUCAAUAGAUUAAAAACAAAAAUCGGAACUGCAUAUGUUCUGGCGCGAUAUAUCAUUGACACAUAUUUUCAAAUUUAGCCUCGGCUUAUUCAACUAUUCGAACCAGCAAAUACACAGCUCAAAAAUAAAAACAAACACGAACACAAGAGGCGAACAUCAA
Harmonia axyridis is the source of this 2028-nucleotide long non-coding RNA. RefSeq lists it as uncharacterized. The transcript is spliced from 4 exons. The record is from RefSeq and is a predicted model, not a curated record. NCBI's taxonomy places the organism in Eukaryota, Metazoa, Arthropoda, Insecta, Coleoptera, Coccinellidae.